GUUUUUUGUGGUUGCUUAUCUUGGUUACUUAGUAAAAACACAAUUACAAACAAGUGAGAUACAAAAACUGUUAAAAACAAACUUUCAUUCAUAAAAAAACACUAACCAUCCAUCAUUCAUGAUACAGAACAGAACAGAGCAUUCCUUAAUCAUCCAUGUUGACAUGUUGUUGCUGUCUUCGUUAACCACCAAAAACAUCAAGAAAUAAGGAAAAAGAAAAUAUGUCUGAGAAAGCGUAAGGAAUGAUAAGUAGCAUCAGGGACUACCAAGAAGCCUGAAUCUAUGUCCACUGAUAACAAAUUUGCACACGUCCCUUCAUUCUUUUUGCUAAAUGUCCACGUGUAUUUGUCUUGUUGCUAGCGUUCACUAUCUUCUCAUGGUUCGUUUUUUCCUUAAAUAAUAAGACAACGUUAAGACA
This is a long non-coding RNA of Arabidopsis thaliana (thale cress), 418 nucleotides long. RefSeq annotates it as other RNA. The record is from RefSeq. Lineage: Eukaryota; Viridiplantae; Streptophyta; Magnoliopsida; Brassicales; Brassicaceae. The transcript has a single exon.